The sequence is a regulatory RNA element, 38 nucleotides long. It matches the Rfam family "JUMPstart RNA". The record is from Rfam.
CAGCAUAUUGAUUGCUGAAAGCCAAGGGCGGUAGCGUG